Molecule: ribosomal RNA, 546 nt
Filed under: uncultured bacterium
Lineage: Bacteria
Description: partial 16S ribosomal RNA
Rfam family: Bacterial small subunit ribosomal RNA
Source: RNAcentral
UGGGGAAUAUUGCACAAUGGGCGCAAGCCUGAUGCAGCCAUGCCGCGUGUGUGAAGAAGGCCUUCGGGUUGUAAAGCACUUUCAGCGAGGAGGAAGGCGUUAAGGUUAAUAACCUUGGCGAUUGACGUUACUCGCAGAAGAAGCACCGGCUAACUCCGUGCCAGCAGCCGCGGUAAUACGGAGGGUGCAAGCGUUAAUCGGAAUUACUGGGCGUAAAGCGCACGCAGGCGGUUUGUUAAGUCAGAUGUGAAUCCCCGAGCUUAACUUGGGAACUGCAUUUGAAACUGGCAAGCUAGAGUCUUGUAGAGGGGGGUAGAAUUCCAGGUGUAGCGGUGAAAUGCGUAGAGAUCUGGAGGAAUACCGGUGGCGAAGGCGGCCCCCCUGGACAAAGACUGACGCUCAGGUGCGAAAGCGUGGGGCAGCAAACAGGAUUAGAUACCCUGGUAGUCCACGCUGUAAACGAUGUCGAUUUGGAGGUUGUGGGCUUGACCCGUGGCUUCCGGAGCUAACGCGUUAAAUCGACCGCCUGGGGAGUACGGCCGCAAG